Molecule: ribosomal RNA, 264 nt
Filed under: uncultured archaeon
Lineage: Archaea
Description: partial 16S ribosomal RNA
Rfam family: Archaeal small subunit ribosomal RNA
Source: RNAcentral
AGACGUCUACAUUAGAUACCCGCGUAGUCCCAGCCGUAAACUAUGCGCGUUAGGUGUAUCGGUGGCCACGAGUCACCGAGGUGCCGAAGGGAAACCGUGAAACGUGCCGCCUGGGAAGUACGGUCGCAAGGCUGAAACUUAAAGGAAUUGGCGGGGAGCACCACAACGGGUGGAGCCUGCGGUUUAAUUGGACUCAACGCCGGGAAGCUCACCGGAUAAGACAGCGGAAUGAUUGCCGGGCUGAAGACUCUGCAUGACUAGCUG